GCAAGUCGAGCGAACAGACGAGGAGCUUGCUCCUCUGACGUUAGCGGCGGACGGGUGAGUAACACGUGGAUAACCUACCUAUAAGACUGGGAUAACUUCGGGAAACCGGAGCUAAUACCGGAUAAUAUAUUGAACCGCAUGGUUCAAUAGUGAAAGACGGUUUUGCUGUCACUUAUAGAUGGAUCCGCGCCGCAUUAGCUAGUUGGUAAGGUAACGGCUUACCAAGGCAACGAUGCGUAGCCGACCUGAGAGGGUGAUCGGCCACACUGGAACUGAGACACGGUCCAGACUCCUACGGGAGGCAGCAGUAGGGAAUCUUCCGCAAUGGGCGAAAGCCUGACGGAGCAACGCCGCGUGAGUGAUGAAGGUCUUCGGAUCGUAAAACUCUGUUAUUAGGGAAGAACAAAUGUGUAAGUAACUAUGCACGUCUUGACGGUACCUAAUCAGAAAGCCACGGCUAACUACGUGCCAGCAGCCGCGGUAAUACGUAGGUGGCAAGCGUUAUCCGGAAUUAUUGGGCGUAAAGCGCGCGUAGGCGGUUUUUAAGUCUGAUGUGAAAGCCCACGGCUCAACCGUGGAGGGUCAUUGGAAACUGGAAAACUUGAGUGCAGAAGAGGAAAGUGGAAUUCCAUGUGUAGCGGUGAAAUGCGCAGAGAUAUGGAGGAACACCAGUGGCGAAGGCGACUUUCUGGUCUGUAACUGACGCUGAUGUGCGAAAGCGUG
This 723-nucleotide ribosomal RNA is filed under the name uncultured Staphylococcus sp. RNAcentral describes it as "bacterial SSU rRNA". It matches the Rfam family "Bacterial small subunit ribosomal RNA", at positions 57 to 763 of the family's 1533-position model. Lineage: Bacteria; Bacillati; Bacillota; Bacilli; Caryophanales; Staphylococcaceae. The record is from RNAcentral.